UACAGAGGUCUCAAGCGUUGUUCGGAUUCAUUGGGCGUAAAGGGUGCGUAGGCGGCGCGGUAAGUCGGGUGUGAAAUCUCGGGGCUUAACUCCGAAACUGCAUUCGAUACUGCCAUGCUUGAGGACUGGAGAGGAGACUGGAAUUCAUGGUGUAGCAGUGAAAUGCGUAGAGAUCAUGAGGAAGACCAGUGGCGAAGGCGGGUCUCUGGACAGUUCCUGACACUGAGACACGAAGGCCAGGGGAGCAAACGGG
This 253-nucleotide ribosomal RNA is filed under the name uncultured bacterium. Its description in RNAcentral is "partial 16S ribosomal RNA". It matches the Rfam family "Bacterial small subunit ribosomal RNA", at positions 524 to 776 of the family's 1533-position model. The record is from RNAcentral.